RNAcentral lists this ribosomal RNA (497 nucleotides) under uncultured bacterium. RNAcentral's name for it is "partial 16S ribosomal RNA". It matches the Rfam family "Bacterial small subunit ribosomal RNA", at positions 28 to 507 of the family's 1533-position model. The record is from RNAcentral.
GAUGAACGCUGGCGGCGUGCCUAAUACAUGCAAGUCGAGCGAACAGACGAGGAGCUUGCUCCUUUGACGUUAGCGGCGGACGGGUGAGUAACACGUAGGUAACCUACCUAUAAGACUGGGAUAACUUCGGGAAACCGGAGCUAAUACCGGAUAAUAUUUCGAACCGCAUGGUUCGAUAGUGAAAGAUGGCUUUGCUAUCACUUAUAGAUGGUCCUGCGCCGUAUUAGCUAGUUGGUAAGGUAACGGCUUACCAAGGCAACGAUACGUAGCCGACCUGAGAGGGUGAUCGGCCACACUGGAACUGAGACACGGUCCAGACUCCUACGGGAGGCAGCAGUAGGGAAUCUUCCGCAAUGGGCGAAAGCCUGACGGAGCAACGCCGCGUGAGUGAUGAAGGUCUUCGGAUCGUAAAACUCUGUUAUUAGGGAAGAACAAACGUGUAAGUAACUGUGCACGUCUUGACGGUACCUAAUCAGAAAGCCACGGCUAACUACGUG